This 410-nucleotide long non-coding RNA is filed under the name Fragaria vesca (wild strawberry). RNAcentral's name for it is "long non-coding RNA (FVES_LNC002454)". Lineage: Eukaryota; Viridiplantae; Streptophyta; Magnoliopsida; Rosales; Rosaceae. The record is from RNAcentral.
CUAAAGUUUACCAUAGCCGACGAAAAUUUAACUUAGCCGAUGAAAGAUAAUUUCGUCGGCUAAAGUGGACUUUAGCUGACGAAAAAAUGCUUCGUCGGCCUGGUUUUUUUUUUUCAUCGGCUAAAGCCUUUCUUCUGGUAGUGAGAUUUGAUCAAAUAAAACUUUCAUUCAAAUAAAAUGCAAUUACAUCACAAUCACAUCACCUAACAAAGAAGGAUUAUAACUAAAGACAAAUAACUCUAGCAUCACAAUACAUAUCCUCACUCCAAAGAGAAGAGACUGACAUGUCAAUGCAUUCAACAACGACAGCCAAAUUGAGUAGUAGUUACAUUAAAGAGUUUGUAACUUAACUGUGUAAGCGACUUACUAAUCUGUCUAAAGAAUAGAAGUGAUGUUGGCAUAAGUAAUGA